Molecule: ribosomal RNA, 164 nt
Filed under: Muhlenbergia brevivaginata
Lineage: Eukaryota; Viridiplantae; Streptophyta; Magnoliopsida; Poales; Poaceae
Description: 5.8S ribosomal RNA
Rfam family: 5.8S ribosomal RNA
About the family: 5.8S ribosomal RNA (5.8S rRNA) is a component of the large subunit of the eukaryotic ribosome. It is transcribed by RNA polymerase I as part of the 45S precursor that also contains 18S and 28S rRNA.
Source: RNAcentral
AACAUGACUCUCGGCAACGGAUAUCUCGGCUCUCGCAUCGAUGAAGAACGUAGCAAAAUGCGAUACCUGGUGUGAAUUGCAGAAUCCCGUGAACCAUCGAGUUUUUGAACGCAAGUUGCGCCCGAGGCCUUUUGGYCGAGGGCACGUCUGCCUGGGCGUCACGC